GCCCCAGGUGCUUCAGAGGAUGUAAGCGGCGUGCAUCCUUCUUUCUCUACUAUACUUACUUAAAUUGAAAGAAUAUAUUUUCGAACAGGCAAUUUUUAUAGUGCCAUAACAUGCAUCCAGAUGACAUCCACAUGACUUGCUAAUAAUUAUUGUUGUGGAAAGGAAUUAAUCCGCUAUUCAAUUCAACUAUUCAAUGCUUCUUUCAUUCAGAUACAGGUUCUUUUGCCCGAGGAGAGGAACCCCAACCCGUCAGGUUUGAGGCCACUACCCCGUAUGAUUUUAAAUUUCAAUCCAACCAUUCAAUGCUUCUUUCAUGAAUGUAAUUUAUCUCUUGUGCCACUGCUUUACUAAUUUUUCUGUACUUGUUAAUGUGGCUACUGUGUUCCACUUGCAGAUAGUGCAAAAUACUACCGAGUGUGUAUCACCGAUCCUGGUCAGUUUCUUCAUGAUACUUCAGUUGACUCGGAUGGACAUGAUCAAUACCACGCCCGGGGCCCAUAUGCAAUGGCCGUCUAAUUUUGCAAUGCUGAAUUAAUUUGCAGAGGGUACUUACUUAUUCAUUUGGUUUUUUAGAGCAAAAAAGGGCGACAGACGUUAUUAAGAGUAAAACUUAACAGGUUUUACAUCGUUAUUACAGCUCCAGCUGUUUGUGUUGUGAAACUUUUCCAAGCAAAGCCAGAAGAGGAAAAACUGCAUGCAAAUGAAACAAUUGACAGAAAAAAAAAGAGCAGGAGCAUAUCUCAUUACAGCUCAGGUAUGUAAAGACCAUCUUUAUC
Molecule: long non-coding RNA, 776 nt
Filed under: Triticum aestivum (bread wheat)
Lineage: Eukaryota; Viridiplantae; Streptophyta; Magnoliopsida; Poales; Poaceae
Description: long non-coding RNA (TAES_LNC008261)
Source: RNAcentral